Molecule: non-coding RNA, 82 nt
Organism: Blyttiomyces helicus
Lineage: Eukaryota; Fungi; Chytridiomycota; Chytridiomycetes
Source: the annotation of a GenBank genome assembly
GCAUGGUUGGUUUAGUGGCAUAAUUACCGCCUGCCACCAGAUGAGUUCGCGGUAGACCCGGGUUCGAUUCCCGGACCAUGCA